ACGUGAGUAACCUGCCCUUGACUUCGGGAUAAGCCUGGGAAACCGGGUCUAAUACCGGAUACGACCUCCUGGCGCAUGCCAUGGGGGUGGAAAGCUUUAUUGCGGUUUUGGAUGGACUCGCGGCCUAUCAGCUUGUUGGUUAGAGUAAUGGCCCACCAAGGCGACGACGGGUAGCCGGCCUGAGAGGGUGACCGGCCACACUGGGACUGAGACACGGCCCAGACUCCUACGGGAGGCAGCAGUGGGGAAUAUUGCACAAUGGGCGAAAGCGGGAAGACAGGGGACGCCGCGUGAGGGAUGACGGCCUUCGGGUUGUAAACCUCUUUCAGCAGGGAAGAAGCGAAAGUGACGGUACCUGCAGAAGAAGCGCCGGCUAACUACGUGCCAGCAGCCGCGGUAAUACGUAGGGCGCAAGCGUUAUCCGGAAUUAUUGGGCGUAAAGAGCUCGUAGGCGGUUUGUCGCGUCUGCUGUGAAAGCCCGGGGCUCAACCCCGGGUCUGCAGUGGUACGGCAGACUAGAGUGAUGUAGGGGAGACUGAAUUUCCUGGUGUAGCGGUGAAAUGCGCAGAUAUCAGAGGACACCGAUGGCG
RNAcentral lists this ribosomal RNA (590 nucleotides) under Arthrobacter gandavensis. RNAcentral describes it as "bacterial SSU rRNA". It matches the Rfam family "Bacterial small subunit ribosomal RNA", at positions 115 to 717 of the family's 1533-position model. The record is from RNAcentral. Lineage: Bacteria; Bacillati; Actinomycetota; Actinomycetes; Micrococcales; Micrococcaceae.